RNAcentral lists this ribosomal RNA (420 nucleotides) under uncultured bacterium. RNAcentral describes it as "bacterial SSU rRNA". It matches the Rfam family "Bacterial small subunit ribosomal RNA", at positions 66 to 471 of the family's 1533-position model. The record is from RNAcentral.
GGGGCAGCGGUGGUGAAGGCUUGCCUUUACCAGCCGGCGACCGGCGCACGGGUGAGUAACACGUAUGCAACCUGCCUGCCACAGCCGGAUAAUCGGGAGAAAUUCCGUCUAAUACGGCAUAAUGCACCUAUGGGACAUCCUGUUGGUGCCAAAGGUUGAUUCCGGUGGCGGAUGGGCAUGCGUCGCAUUAGUUAGUUGGCGGUGUAACGGACCACCAAGACGACGAUGCGUAGGGGUUCUGAGAGGAAGGUCCCCCACACUGGUACUGAGACACGGACCAGACUCCUACGGGAGGCAGCAGUGAGGAAUAUUGGUCAAUGGGCGGGAGCCUGAACCAGCCAAGUCGCGUGAGGGAUGACGGCCCUAUGGGUUGUAAACCUCUUUUGCCGGGGAGCAAAGUGCCGCACGUGUGCGGUUUGG